Molecule: long non-coding RNA, 614 nt
Organism: Protobothrops mucrosquamatus (brown spotted pit viper)
Lineage: Eukaryota; Metazoa; Chordata; Lepidosauria; Squamata; Viperidae
Exons: 2
Source: RefSeq, a predicted model, not a curated record
AGAAUUUCAAAAACUUUGGAGAAGUGUUCCUGUGGAUUCUAUGGAUGAAGAGAAGAUAGAAGAAUAUCUGAAACGCCAGGGCAUUUCUUCCAUGCAAGAUGUAGGCCCAAAGAAAAUAAUUCCUAUCCAGAAGAGGAGGAAGCCAGCUUCUCAGAAGAAACGGAGGUUCAAAACUCACAAUGAUCAUUUGGCUGGUGUAUUGAAGGAUUAUUCCGAUGUAGCUCCUGCCAAAUAAAUUGGUCUUCUGAACUGAACUGUUACGUUGAUGUGGAUGCUUGGGACAGAUGUCCUUUGUAUAGCCGAUGUGGUUCUUUCCUCUUCCACUUCUGUAGCGGAUGAAAAGUAACAACUUUUGGGAUCAAGAAUAAACUAUUCGUCGUAACAUUUACUUUACUGGUUAAUAUAAACUUGGAUCAGAGCCAUUAUUAUCAGUAGACUUCUGAUAUUGAAUUAUAUUUAGCAUGAAAUGCUAAGGUUCAUGUUCAUCAGUUAAAAUUUCUUUGAAGAAUUCUUUGGCAUUCUAUGAGAGUUUUAUUCAGCUGGGUUAACCUAUAUAAAUCUCAGAUUUUUGAUGUCAAGAAAACAUGUUUAUAAUAAAAUCAUUCAAAAAAGUU